ACUGUACGCCGGUAGCGCCACGUAACCCUCGCGCCGGCGCAGGCGCGGGGGCGGCAAGGGCCGGCCCGAACACCGCCGACAGGGACCACGCCGGUGAUCCGCCUGCGCCCGAACCGGCCGGAGCGCUACCGGGGACGCCGAAGCCACCAGAGCACCUCACCCUGCAAUGGUGGAGACCUCGAUGGAAAGUCGCCCGCGAUCAAAUACUGG
RNAcentral lists this long non-coding RNA (210 nucleotides) under Volvox carteri. RNAcentral's name for it is "long non-coding RNA (VCAR_LNC000466)". Lineage: Eukaryota; Viridiplantae; Chlorophyta; Chlorophyceae; Chlamydomonadales; Volvocaceae. The record is from RNAcentral.